GAUGAACGCUGGCGGCGUGCCUAAUACAUGCAAGUCGAGCGAACAGACGAGGAGCUUGCUCCUCUGACGUUAGCGGCGGACGGGUGAGUAACACGUGGAUAACCUACCUAUAAGACUUGGAUAACUUCGGGAAACCGGAGCUAAUACCGGAUAAUAUAUUGAACCGCAUGGUUCAAUAGUGAAAGACGGUUUUGCUGUCACUUAUAGAUGGAUCCGCGCCGCAUUAGCUAGUUGGUAAGGUAACGGCUUACCAAGGCAACGAUGCGUAGCCGACCUGAGAGGGUGAUCGGCCACACUGGAACUGAGACACGGUCCAGACUCCUACGGGAGGCAGCAGUAGGGAAUCUUCCGCAAUGGGCGAAAGCCUGACGGAGAAACGCCGCGUGAGUGAUGAAGGUCUUCGGAUCGUAAAACUCUGUUAUUAGGGAAGAACAAAUGUGUAAGUAACUAUGCACGUCUUGACGGUACCUAAUCAGAAAGCCACGGCUAACUACGUG
RNAcentral lists this ribosomal RNA (497 nucleotides) under uncultured bacterium. RNAcentral describes it as "partial 16S ribosomal RNA". It matches the Rfam family "Bacterial small subunit ribosomal RNA", at positions 28 to 507 of the family's 1533-position model. The record is from RNAcentral.